UACGGAGGGAGCUAGCGUUGUUCGGAAUUACUGGGCGUAAAGCGCGCGUAGGCGGCUUUGUAAGUUAGAGGUGAAAGCCCGGGGCUCAACCCCGGAACUGCCUUUAAGACUGCAUCGCUUGAAUCCGGGAGAGGUGAGUGGAAUUCCGAGUGUAGAGGUGAAAUUCGUAGAUAUUCGGAAGAACACCAGUGGCGAAGGCGACUCACUGGACACGUAUUGACGCUGAGGUGCGAAAGCGUGGGGAGCAAACAGG
This 253-nucleotide ribosomal RNA is filed under the name uncultured bacterium. RNAcentral describes it as "partial 16S ribosomal RNA". It matches the Rfam family "Bacterial small subunit ribosomal RNA", at positions 524 to 776 of the family's 1533-position model. The record is from RNAcentral.